GCGGUCAUAGUUUAGUGGUAGAACGUGACGUUGCCAACGUCAUAGUGCGAGUUCGAUUCUCGCUGACCGCA
This 71-nucleotide transfer RNA is filed under the name Nanobdellota archaeon. Its description in RNAcentral is "tRNA-Gly". It matches the Rfam family "tRNA". Rfam says of the family: Transfer RNA (tRNA) molecules are approximately 80 nucleotides in length. Their secondary structure includes four short double-helical elements and three loops (D, anti-codon, and T loops). The record is from RNAcentral. Lineage: Archaea; Nanobdellati; Nanobdellota.